GUCAACUAUGAAUUGUUAGUAAUAUUAAUCUAGUCCUUAUGAAUAAUGAGGUGAUGUUAAAAAAGGUCAGUUUUUAAUUUUCCUCAUUCCUAUUCUGCCCUUAAACCAACUCUCUCUCUCUCUAUCGUCUUCUUCUCCUCCACACACGCAGAGACCUCAGAGAGAGUGUGAAUGCCAAAGAACGACGCGUCUUUGGGAUCGGUCUAAGAGUUCUUGAAGCGGUGCCGACUCGCCGGUAAUCGGAUCCCUCCAGAUCGUUCAGCUCGAUCGGGCGUCGUAUGACGCCUCUUCAUCUCUUGACGUACUUGUCGAGAUAGGAGAGCGCGACAUUGAAAUCGAACGCCGCUUUGCGCUCGGCGAACCAGAGGCCGAGGAAGGUGUGCUUGCCAGUGCCACCCUCGAUCUUGAGGACGAAGUAUCGAGACGAGUCGAGCACGGUCUUGACGGAGGUCGUUGGAGUUCGGAUCUUCCAGUCAGAUCUCGCACCGGUCCUUGCACGACCUUCUCCGCUCUCGGCGACCUUCUCCGCUCUUGGAGAGCUUCUUGUUGCUACUGGCUGCGUCACUGACUUUGAUGAGUGCCGCUAGGUUUGCAGUACGUUAACCGAAAAGUUUGGGAAGCAUGGUUUGGUUAAAACCAAACCAUCUGUGUGGAGUCGUGCAGCGCCAGUGAGAAUGGAUGAUGGAAUGGAUGAGGGGCAGGCACCAAAGAAGAAGCAGGAGUUGAUUGAUGAUCCCAUGCUCUGAACGUGAUAUGGCAAAGCUAGAUAGGCUAAAGAGGAAGGAUGAGUGCCAAAGAGAGGCAUUGGACCAGUUGGGACAUGUGGAUGAAAUUGUAAAUGACCUUAGUAUGUGCUGAUAUGUUAUUGUGGUCUAUAAACAACAUUUUAAUUAGAAUUUCUUAUAGUUUCUCUUUCCAGCUUUACUUUACUAAUCGCUCUGG
Rosa rugosa (rugosa rose) is the source of this 942-nucleotide long non-coding RNA. RefSeq lists it as uncharacterized. The record is from RefSeq and is a predicted model, not a curated record. The transcript is spliced from 3 exons. NCBI's taxonomy places the organism in Eukaryota, Viridiplantae, Streptophyta, Magnoliopsida, Rosales, Rosaceae.